CAAUUCAUCAAGUGAUGCUCCCUGCUAAAGGCUGCUGGCUCUUCCUCUCAUCUCCUGCUCCCAGGGAAUAAGAGGUGGACACCCUAAGGACCUGGAUUUGCCCUCCCAGCACCUGGAAAAUUCAACUCACGCCAAAAAGAAUUCACCUCUGAACAAGGAGAAAUGACGACAAGAAAGGAGGCUUUUAUUACUAUGAGCAACGACAACUGGGAGCCACGACAGACAAACAAAGGAUCUACAGACCAGAAGCUAACGUGU
This is a long non-coding RNA of Lemur catta (Ring-tailed lemur), 258 nucleotides long. RefSeq lists it as uncharacterized. NCBI's taxonomy places the organism in Eukaryota, Metazoa, Chordata, Mammalia, Primates, Lemuridae. The transcript has 3 exons. The record is from RefSeq and is a predicted model, not a curated record.